Non-coding RNA from Vicia faba (fava bean), 246 nucleotides. NCBI's taxonomy places the organism in Eukaryota, Viridiplantae, Streptophyta, Magnoliopsida, Fabales, Fabaceae. The record is from the annotation of a GenBank genome assembly.
AUGUGCAUCAAGAUGCUUUGGAAUGCGAAGAAAGAUCAAGUUUGCUUCCAUCCAAUUCAAAGCCUUGAAUUGCAAUUUUUCAAGAAAGUCAUCCGCAAGGGCAAAAUGGUCAAAAGCACACUGAAAAGUCAAACUUUAACUUUCAGAUCAAAUCAAGUUUCAACAAUUUUAUUUCAUCAAGAUAUGAGAUUGGUUCAUCAAAAAAUCAAGAGUCAGAAGUUACUUUGGAAAAAUCAAAUUUUCUAA